Small nucleolar RNA from Ailuropoda melanoleuca (giant panda), 87 nucleotides. Its record names the gene U3. It matches the Rfam family "Small nucleolar RNA U3". From Rfam's summary of the family: Small nucleolar RNAs (snoRNAs) are involved in the processing and modification of rRNA in the nucleolus. There are two main classes of snoRNAs: the box C/D class, and the box H/ACA class. Lineage: Eukaryota; Metazoa; Chordata; Mammalia; Carnivora; Ursidae. The record is from Ensembl.
AAGACUAUACUUUCAGGAAUCAUUUCUAUAGUUUGUUUAUCGUCUGCCUCCCCCUCCUAGCAUGUAAAGCUCCAUGAGGAUAGGAGU